GAUGAAGAACGUAGCGAAAUGCGAUAAGUAGUGUGAAUUGCAGAAUUCAGUGAAUCAUCGAAUCUUUGAACGCACAUUGCGCCUCCUGGUAUUCCGGGAGGCAUGCCUGUCCGAGCGUUAUUCAAAACAUAAACCCAUCUAGGUUUGCUAUUGAGAGAUGAGCCAGGCCUCAGCCAGGGCUCCCCCUCGAAAUGCAUAGGCGAAGUGCUAAAGCGAUUUAGGUUGUAGUACUUAAUCUUUCUCAACCAAUCUCUCGCUUUGGCUCUUCAGCCGAUCCAACACUUUAUCUGUUGUUGACCUCGGAUCAGGUAGGGAUACCCGCUGAACUUAAGCAUAUCAAUAAGCGGAGGA
RNAcentral lists this unclassified non-coding RNA (351 nucleotides) under soil metagenome. Its description in RNAcentral is "partial contains 5.8S ribosomal RNA, internal transcribed spacer 2, and large subunit ribosomal RNA". The stretch from base 1 to 120 matches the Rfam family "5.8S ribosomal RNA", at positions 35 to 154 of the family's 154-position model. The record is from RNAcentral.